GGGGAAUAUUGCACAAUGGGGGAAACCCUGAUGCAGCGACGCCGCGUGGAGGAAGAAGGUCUUCGGAUUGUAAACUCCUGUUGUUGAGGAAGAUAAUGACGGUACUCAACAAGGAAGUGACGGCUAACUACGUGCCAGCAGCCGCGGUAAAACGUAGGUCACAAGCGUUGUCCGGAAUUACUGGGUGUAAAGGGAGCGCAGGCGGGAGAACAAGUUGGAAGUGAAAUCCAUGGGCUCAACCCAUGAACUGCUUUCAAAACUGUUUUUCUUGAGUAGUGCAGAGGUAGGCGGAAUUCCCGGUGUAGCGGUGGAAUGCGUAGAUAUCGGGAGGAACACCAGUGGCGAAGGCGGCCUACUGGGCACCAACUGACGCUGAGGCUCGAAAGUGUGGGUAGCAAACAGGAUUAGAUACCCUGGUAGUCCACACCGUAAACGAUGAUUACUAGGUGUUGGAGGAUUGACCCCUUCAGUGCCGCAGUUAACACAAUAAGUAAUCCACCUGGGGAGUACGACCGCAAGGUUGAAACUCAAAGGAAUUGACGGGGGCCCGCACAAGCAGUGGAGUAUGUGGUUUAAUUCGACGCAACGCGAAGAACCUUACCAAGUCUUGACAUCCCUUGACGAUGCUGGAAACAGUAUUUCUCUUCGGAGCAAGGAGACAGGUGGUGCAUGGUUGUCGUCAGCUCGUGUCGUGAGAUGUUGGGUUAAGUCCCGCAACGAGCGCAACCCUUAUGGUCAGUUACUACGCAAGAGGACUCUGGCCAGACUGCCGUUGACAAAACGGAGGAAGGUGGGG
Molecule: ribosomal RNA, 796 nt
Filed under: uncultured bacterium
Lineage: Bacteria
Description: bacterial SSU rRNA
Rfam family: Bacterial small subunit ribosomal RNA
Source: RNAcentral